AGCUUAAUUUAUUUAUGAAUUUAAUUUUUUUUUAUUGGACCUCUCGAGUUGACAGAGUUUGGAAAUGACUUGGUCUGGUUUAUAGUGGUCCAGAAUAUACCUAUGAAUAUAAUAUAGAUGUUUAGCUUAAAAGAUGAUAUACAUUGUCAAGCUCUGUUUCUGUCGCAAAGGAAAUGUUGGUUUUGUGUGCUAAAAAUGCCAAUGUGUGAUGAACGUGUAUUCUGACAUCAAACUAACUAUUUCUACUUGGGAACUUGAUAGAUUGAUUUGGAGCUGUAUUUUAGGAAAAGUUAGUGACAGUUUUUACAUUUAAGGGGAAAAAAAAGCUUAUUAUAAUUUAUUGAUCUUCUGAGAAUAACUAUGAUAAUUGUUUAUCCAGGUUCAUGGUGUUAGUGAUCCAA
This 401-nucleotide unclassified non-coding RNA is filed under the name Hevea brasiliensis (rubber tree). Lineage: Eukaryota; Viridiplantae; Streptophyta; Magnoliopsida; Malpighiales; Euphorbiaceae. The record is from RNAcentral.